Long non-coding RNA from Hyposmocoma kahamanoa, 542 nucleotides. RefSeq lists it as uncharacterized. NCBI's taxonomy places the organism in Eukaryota, Metazoa, Arthropoda, Insecta, Lepidoptera, Cosmopterigidae. The transcript has 3 exons. The record is from RefSeq and is a predicted model, not a curated record.
GUGUUCUCGUUUUUAUGUUACGGGGUGCGCUUUGUAGACUUUUAUUUCUGUGAAGGUGCAACCUCUAGUUUCCAGUUAAAAGGCAUUAUUAAAGAAAUAAUUGCUGCUGCAUCUGAAACUGGACUGAAACCUAUAGCUCUUGUGUCAGAUCAAGGCACAAAUUAUCAAUCUGCCAUAAAUCUUUUAAUAGAAGAGACCAAAACAACUCAAUUACGUGCUGGAGAGACUUUUGAUAACACAAUCAAUUUAAGUGGAAACACAUUAAGUGUUUUUUAUGAUCCACCACAUCUGAUUAAGGGGAUUCGUAAUAACUGGCUCACCAAGGAUAUGUUAUUUGAAAGCAAACCAGCUAAGUAGCAAGAUAUUGUGGACGUGUACAAUGCUGACUGUCAGCAUGGACAAUCAAGGAUAUUACACAAGUUGACUGACCAACAUCCUGAAAUUCAUUCAGUCAUUCCUGAAAAAAUAAAAAAAUGAAGGUGAGAAAUUGUAUGCGUGCAUUAAGCAAAUCAAUAUCAGCGGAAUUAUCAUACACUUCAUGC